RNAcentral lists this ribosomal RNA (426 nucleotides) under uncultured bacterium. Its description in RNAcentral is "bacterial SSU rRNA". It matches the Rfam family "Bacterial small subunit ribosomal RNA", at positions 356 to 773 of the family's 1533-position model. The record is from RNAcentral.
GGGGAAUUGUUCGCAAUGGGCGCAAGCCUGACGACGCAACGCCGCGUGGAGGACGAAGAUCUUCGGGUCGUAAACUCCUUUCGAUCGGGAAGAACGUUUCCGGGGUGAAUAAUCCCGGGAAGUGACGGUACCGAGAGAAGAAGCCCCGGCUAACUCCGUGCCAGCAGCCGCGGUAAUACGUAGGGUGCAAGCGUUAAUCGGAAUUACUGGGCGUAAAGCGUGCGCAGGCGGUUAUGUAAGACAGGUGUGAAAUCCCCGGGCUUAACCUGGGAACUGCAUUUGGGACUGCAAGGCUAGAGUGUGGCAGAGGAGACUGGAAUUCCUGGUGUAGCAGUGAAAUGCGUAGAUAUCAGGAGGAAUACCGAUGGCGAAGGCAGGUCUCUGGGCUGACACUGACGCUCAUGCACGAAAGCGUGGGGAGCAAAC